CGAACGGGUGAGUAACGCGUGAGGAACCUGCCUCAAAGAGGGGGACAACAGUUGGAAACGACUGCUAAUACCGCAUAAGCCCACGGCUCGGCAUCGAGCAGAGGGAAAAGGAGCAAUCCGCUUUGAGAUGGCCUCGCGUCCGAUUAGCUAGUUGGUGGGGUAACGGCCCACCAAGGCAACGAUCGGUAGCCGGACUGAGAGGUUGAACGGCCACAUUGGGACUGAGACACGGCCCAG
This 237-nucleotide ribosomal RNA is filed under the name uncultured bacterium. Its description in RNAcentral is "partial 16S ribosomal RNA". It matches the Rfam family "Bacterial small subunit ribosomal RNA", at positions 99 to 334 of the family's 1533-position model. The record is from RNAcentral.